RNAcentral lists this ribosomal RNA (565 nucleotides) under Marinobacter daepoensis. RNAcentral's name for it is "bacterial SSU rRNA". It matches the Rfam family "Bacterial small subunit ribosomal RNA", at positions 173 to 733 of the family's 1533-position model. The record is from RNAcentral. Lineage: Bacteria; Pseudomonadati; Pseudomonadota; Gammaproteobacteria; Pseudomonadales; Marinobacteraceae.
UACGUCCUACGGGAGAAAGCAGGGGAUCUUCGGACCUUGCGCUAUUGGAUGAGCCUAAGUCGGAUUAGCUAGUUGGUGGGGNAAAGGCCUACCAAGGCGACGAUCCGUAGCUGGUCUGAGAGGAUGAUCAGCCACAUCGGGACUGAGACACGGCCCGAAUCUCCUACGGGAGGCAGCAGUGGGGAAUAUUGGACAAUGGGGGCAACCCUGAUCCAGCCAUGCCGCGUGUGUGAAGAAGGCUUUCGGGUUGUAAAGCACUUUCAGUAGGGAGGAAAACCUUAUGGCUAAUACCCAUGAGGCUUGACGUUACCUACAGAAGAAGCACCGGCUAACUCCGUGCCAGCAGCCGCGGUAAUACGGAGGGUGCAAGCGUUAAUCGGAAUUACUGGGCGUAAAGCGCGCGUAGGUGGUUUGGUAAGCGAGAUGUGAAAGCCCCGGGCUUNACCUGGGAACGGCAUUUCGAACUGUCAGACUUGAGUGUGGUAGAGGGUAGUGGAAUUUCCUGUGUAGCGGUGAAAUGCGUAGAUAUAGGAAGGAACACCAGUGGCGAAGGCGGCUACCUGGA